This 117-nucleotide ribosomal RNA is filed under the name Rhodocyclaceae bacterium. Lineage: Bacteria; Pseudomonadati; Pseudomonadota; Betaproteobacteria; Rhodocyclales; Rhodocyclaceae. The record is from RNAcentral.
UCCGGCGGUUAUUCCGAGAGGGUCACACCCGUACCCAUUCCGAACACGGAAGUUAAGCCUCUCAGGGCCGAUGGUACUGCGUUGGCAACUUUGUGGGAGAGUAGGUCGCUGCCGGAU